GGUGGACAUGCUGUUUCUCCAGAGGAGGAGGAGGAGGAGGAGGAGGAGUCCCUGUUCCCUUUAUCCCCGGAGACAGGAGGGGAUCCGACACCCUGGAGGAGACACAGAAAAAUGACCCUAAGUAUGACACAUCUCCACGGCUGAACACAUCCAUGUGACACAUCCACGGAGGACUCACCCGUCUCUCGUGCUGUCCAUGGCGGCCAGUGGGGACAGAUGAUGAGGGCUGCCGAGUUCCCGGUCCAGUCGGUGCUGUCGGGACGUCAGUAAAUCUACUCUCUCCAUCGUCCGCUUCAUUCAUCGGCUGAUGUCUUUCCCAGCGUCCAUGAGGAGAGCUGUGCGCUGACUUUCUGGGACAGUUAACCAGUGACGAGAGGAGAAGACAAGGGGAGAUGAAAGGAGGAGAAAAGAUCGCUGCUCCUGGUUUUGCCGUUUCCAGGGCCAGCUGUUCUCAAGUGGAAGCAUGCCGAGGCCUGAUCUGACAGCACUCUGAAAUGGUUACAAGCUUGAUUCAUUACCCCCAAAUCAUCAAUCACAGACCUUAAAUGUUUUCCCCUUUAGCCCCAACAUCUGCUACCAGACCUGCAAAACAGUCGACAAAUAAUGGCCGUGAUUGCCUCAGUUUCAAUGCUGGUUCCUUGUGGAGGGAGAGAGAGAGUGGAUGUGAUGGCACUCUUGAAGAGUUAGCAGAGGAUUAUGUUCUGAAAAUGUUGUGGAUUGCUCUGAAAGGCUUCCGGUCGAGUUCAGAAAGAAAGCUCUGUGUGAGAGGGCGAUGGAGAGGUACAUAAGCCUCUCAGCAUAACAGCAGGAGCAUGUAAACCUCUGUACUAAAACUAUGAUGAGUCCUUCCUCUGGUUAAUCAGAGAACACUUUAAUUAUGCUCUAUAAAACAGAGAGUGGCUUCUCGUAAGUCUCACUGCAGCCAUGUGAAUAAGAGCAGACUUAUAAGCCGUGAACAGGAAAACAAGUUAAGCUCUGACUGGAAGCAUGACUCAUUUUCUGCUCCACAAGUGUUAAUGAUGGGAUGGCUGCCCACUUUGCCCCACCUCUUCCAUGCAUCCUAUUGGCCCUGGAACAAAGUGAAACUCAUGCAAAAUGGGGUUCUUGCAUGCCAACCUGCAACAUCUUUGCUGGCCUCAAAUAACACUGCAUCCCUGAGCACUUUGGCAUCGGCUCACGGGCGAGCUCCUCUGGGCUCUAAAACAUUUAAAACAAGAGAGCAAGCAACAUCCACUCAGAAACAGAGGGAGGUCAAGGUGGAAAAGCCGAGACUCAGAGGCCUGGUUCAACAUUCAAAGACAAGUUGAACAUUCAGUCAUCAACGGGACGCUGGAGUUCCAGCAACAAUAACAGAGAGCAACGGGGAGCCUGGAUGGGGUACUGGCAGAAAACAAGGACAGAUGUGUCCAUAAACUAAGGAAGCUGCAGGGCAUCUCUCUUGUCUUUAAGAUUGUUAUAAUAAUAAUAUAUUUAUCUCUCUCUUGUUCUCAAUCUAAAGCAGUGUUGACGUUUGGUGACGGUCAAAUUCAUCAAUUCUAAAAUGGAAGUUUAAUGGCUAUAUAUGACGAAUAAAAGUUUCUGUUUGUG
This is a long non-coding RNA of Micropterus salmoides (largemouth bass), 1587 nucleotides long. RefSeq lists it as uncharacterized. The transcript is spliced from 3 exons. NCBI's taxonomy places the organism in Eukaryota, Metazoa, Chordata, Actinopteri, Centrarchiformes, Centrarchidae. The record is from RefSeq and is a predicted model, not a curated record.